RNAcentral lists this ribosomal RNA (392 nucleotides) under uncultured bacterium. Its description in RNAcentral is "bacterial SSU rRNA". It matches the Rfam family "Bacterial small subunit ribosomal RNA", at positions 28 to 421 of the family's 1533-position model. The record is from RNAcentral.
GACGAACGCUGGCGGCGUGCUUAACACAUGCAAGUCGAGCGGUAAGGCCCUUUCGGGGGUACACGAGCGGCGAACGGGUGAGUAACACGUGGGUGACCUGCCCUCAGCUCUGGGAUAAGCCUGGGAAACCGGGUCUAAUACCGGAUAUGACUCCAUGACGCAUGUUGUGGGGUGGAAAGCCUUGUGCGGCUGAGGAUGGGCCCGCGGCCUAUCAGCUUGUUGGUGGGGUGAUGGCCUACCAAGGCGACGACGGGUAGCCGGCCUGAGAGGGCGACCGGCCACACUGGGACUGAGGCACGGCCCAGACUCCUACGGGAGGCAGCAGUGGGGAAUCUUGCGCAAUGGGCGAAAGCCUGACGCAGCGACGCCGCGUGAGGGAUGACGGCCUGUGU